Molecule: transfer RNA, 75 nt
Filed under: Rhodospirillaceae bacterium
Lineage: Bacteria; Pseudomonadati; Pseudomonadota; Alphaproteobacteria; Rhodospirillales; Rhodospirillaceae
Description: tRNA-Thr
Rfam family: tRNA
About the family: Transfer RNA (tRNA) molecules are approximately 80 nucleotides in length. Their secondary structure includes four short double-helical elements and three loops (D, anti-codon, and T loops).
Source: RNAcentral
GCUGCCGUAGCUCAGUGGUAGAGCACCCCCUUGGUAAGGGGGAGGUCGAAAGUUCAAUCCUUUUCGGCAGCACCA